UACGUAGGGUGCGAGCGUUAAUCAGAAUUACUGGGCGUAAAGCGUGCGCAGGCGGUUAUGUAAGACAGUUGUGAAAUCCCCGGGCUCAACCUGGGAACUGCAUCUGUGACUGCAUAGCUAGAGUACGGUAGAGGGGGACGGAAUUCCGCGUGUAGCAGUGAAAUGCGUAGAUAUGCGGAGGAACACCGAUGGCGAAGGCAAUCCCCUGGACCUGUACUGACGCUCAUGCACGAAAGCGUGGGGAGCAAACAGG
Molecule: ribosomal RNA, 253 nt
Filed under: uncultured bacterium
Lineage: Bacteria
Description: partial 16S ribosomal RNA
Rfam family: Bacterial small subunit ribosomal RNA
Source: RNAcentral